UAGCAAACACUCAGAGUCAGAAGGUUGUGGGAACUCUGUGCACCCAUAUACAUACUGAAAUGAGAACUCGUUCCUGCACUUUAACUUUCAUCAAGAUCCGUAUGCGGAGUACGAUUAUUGGAUUAAUGAGAUAGGUGUUGAUGGACUUUUUACAGACUUUACAGGCAGCCUGCAUAAUUAUCAAGAGUGGAGCUCCUUUAAGGAAAGUGAUGACAAGAAUGCAUCAAACUUACUGCAUAAAAUAGCGUCAAUGGUCUCUC
Non-coding RNA from Prunus avium (sweet cherry), 260 nucleotides. The record is from RefSeq and is a predicted model, not a curated record. Lineage: Eukaryota; Viridiplantae; Streptophyta; Magnoliopsida; Rosales; Rosaceae.